This is a long non-coding RNA of Rhineura floridana, 3223 nucleotides long. RefSeq lists it as uncharacterized. The transcript has 4 exons. The record is from RefSeq and is a predicted model, not a curated record. NCBI's taxonomy places the organism in Eukaryota, Metazoa, Chordata, Lepidosauria, Squamata, Rhineuridae.
GAGCUGCCCCUUCUACCUGACCCUGCAAUUAAAUCCCCGCGUGAGGCCCUUGUUGUCCGACAUCACAUGCUGUUGCCAUGAGGCAGUCAAAUUCAACCCUUGGAGAAGAAGCAGAGGGAGCAAUUCCCCACUACAACCACCACUACCAGAUUUCUGCACCCACCAGUGACUCUGAGGAGUUGUUGGAUCCAGACAUCCCUGACCUAGGACUGGAGGUCUCAACACCAAAUGUCUCGUUCCUGCCUGGCUGGCCCGCUCCUCAUCAUCCCCAGAGAGCUACAACAGCAGAGGAUGCAGUGAGGCUGGCAGGAGGAGCUUCAGGACUGCUGGCAAAAUGCCUGGCUAGCUAUAUGUGAGGGUACUCAGAAAGUGGGGGUAGCACACGGGAUUGUCUGACUCACAGCAAGUUAAGUUCUGAGGACUUUGGAAGCUGAGAGAGAAAGAUCAAGAGCUGCAAGCAAUGCUCCAGCAUGGGUCCAGAGGAGGAAAUGAGCUCUCCGUGGGUUGAAGUGAUGGAGGUGGCUGACGUGUAGCACAUCUAUAACCAUUGCCACAUCCCCUGGUGCUUUUUGGGCACGACUCAGACUCCAUCUCAGAUGAGGACGGCAAAAAAAAAAAAAGCCAUGAGAUCAAGAGCACCCGAGGCAAUAGUGAUGGAAACCAUGGCAGGCCUCAGCAUCAUGACUGGGCCUGUGUCAGAACCCUUUAUUGGAGGAGGUGGUGGAACCAGGAAUGCCAGAAUCAGGACCUACUUCUACAGGUGUAUCAGGGGACCUCUUGUGGUAUGUCUCACCUCCACGGAUGUAAAGAGGCAACGAUCUUCGUCCCAUCCUGUGUUUAUUGCAAUCCGCACUGUUUCCAUUUCGCUACAGUUUGGCUUCUGCUAAAACCUGUGUUAUUCGUCUCACUAUGCACUAUGGCCAAAAUGAGCAUAAUUAAUUAUGUAAUUCACUUCAGUCCAUUUCAAUGGAUGGGAAACAUCAAAAGCAAUGCAGAAAAUAACAUAAUUCUUUAUGCAAUGUUCACAGUGAAUACUGCUCUUAUUUCUGUUUCUGACUUCGGAGGGAAAAAGUGAAUUGUGGCAAUUUCAACUCCUGUUUCUGUUUCAACAGAACUUGCCGACAUCCAAGGGUGUAGUCAUCCAGGGUGUCAGAGAGUCUUAGACCCCUUACUUUUUUGGGAGCAGGGUCCCAGCAGGGUCCCAGUGUCUCCAGCAUCCUACGAGCCAAUCAGCAUGAAAGGGAAGUGUGUUUGCCACUAAGAAGAGCCUUCUAACAUGCUUCCUUGUCCUUUCCUGCUGAUGGGAGCCAAUCAGAGUGAAAGGAGGUGUGGCAGCCACUGGGUGUCAGUGGCAAUGUCAGAAGACUCUUCUCAGUAGCUAACACUUUCCCUUUCUGAUUGUCUCCUAGGGAUGUUUGUUGUUGUGGGAGAAUACAUUAACAAGGAUCUCAUUUUAAACCCAGCAAAAAAAAAGGAGGAGGGGUGUGGCUAUGACUGUAACUAUCAUGACGGGACCCAGCACUUCUGAAUUUGCCACUACACUACUGCCAAAAUCCUUACUCCCCACCCUCUCUGCUGGCAGGAUGGCAUUCUAGGACUCUUCCACUGGCCUUCAGGAGCAAUAGGACUGCACCCUUUGAAUAUUAUUUUAAUUUAAGUAUAUCUUGCAUGUCCUUCUUGUUUACAUACUAUUUCAGUUGAGAGCUCAACCAAGAUGAUGACAGAUCACAAUGAAAGGAGGAAGGGAAGAAAACCAGGAGAUUAUUCCUCCUGCGGUUGCCAUCUGGUUGGUUUGAUACACACUGUGCCAUUUUUUUCUGCCCCCCUGCUGUUGUUGGCAGUUCAGCCUCUAAAUUGUUUAAAAUUGCAUGCAUUUAAAUGAAUUAACAUAUGCAAACAUGCUACAGGUGUUUUUUUUUAAUGUCCCCUUUCUGGGAGAAGUGUCAUCCCUAAUUAAAGCUGCAGGAGUUCCCUCCGCGUCCCCCCGCUGCCUGACUGCUGAAGGUAGGUUGCGGUUAGGCAUCGUUGCCUGGGGCAUCAGUGGCACUUCCAGGGCAGGGUUUGGGGGCAGAAGCUCAGAACCCUGCCCACACCAAACCACAGUUUUUUUAAAAGGGGCACCAACGAGCUCCCCACUGAUUAUUGCCCAAAGGGCCCAGAAAUCUGACACCAGUCCUGCACAUUGCCAUCUAAAGCCUGGAUGGAGAAUUCUCAAGGCCCAGGGCCCUUCAGACUGUUCUAUCUCGCCCCCCAGGACUCUGCCCAGGUCACACAAACGCCUGGGCCACACUCCUCGCCAGCCCUGCUUUGCACUCUCCUUGAAUGUUUUUUCCUAGUGGAAACAUCUCCUUGAAUUCUGAUCGUGCUUGUCUCUUGCCUGGAUGGAAGACAGACAAGUGUGUGAGUGGGAAGAAACUAGCCGCUGUACCACAAGGAAAUCCCCAUUCAUUGUUAAAUCUGCUUUUGCCUCUGGCCUUGCCUACCACUGGCAUGUGGGCCCUGAAAAGUUGCCUAGAAGUAGGGAGGGGGGAGAAAUUGGAUUCAGUUUGUGUUUAAAGCCGAAUUUAUCAAAUUCACACAUUUCAAAACAGUAUGAGAACCGAAACCCAGCCACCUGUUGAAAAUUUGCAUGCAUCCAAAUUUUGCAAUGCAGUUCUCCGACCAAUGUUUACAGAAAUGCAUAUAUUAGGGGGAAGUGUAUAGACAAAUGAACAUAUUAGUGAAAAUAACAUAGAAAAACACAUUAUAUUAGGAGAAACUGCUUACAAAAAUGUGUACAUGACUUGAAAUUGUGGACAAAAACGUGCUUAUUACAGUAGAAUAAAUUGGCACGAACAUGCUGAAGAAUUUUCAUGAGGGUUUAUAAAGUAAAAUAGAAUUGCUGUCAGAGAAUUGAACUUAAGAUAAAGGUGAAACUGAGAGAACUGAAGCUGGCAAAUUCUUCCAUCUCUACCCAGAAGGGGAUGUGGUUCUUGGGCUGAAAGAGGUUCCCCACCCAUGAUCAUUAAGUUCUGAUUUGGUCUAAAUUUGCUACAGUACCGCCCUCAUGCCAUCAUCGCAGCAAGAGGGUAAAAGUCCCUCUUUCACAGGGACUCUAGUGUUUGGCUGUCCCUGGUAAAUAAUUCACCUGACUUCUCCCUCUGACACACACACCUUUGGGGAUGCCUUUUUAAAAUGACUGUUGCAAAUUGCUAGCUUUGCUCCUUGGAGGAAAGGUGAGAUA